UGUCUUUGAUGUUGACAAAAAACAGUUUGCAAAAUCUACCAUCGGUUCAUUGGCGAUUCCAAGUUGACAGCGUUUACAAACGCCAAGUGCCUUUUAGUGAAUGACAACUCUUCAUAAGCUGUCCUUGAUUACAGAAAACACGUACGCUACGUUGUCGACAUGCUGCGGUGGCGCGCCGCGAGCGAAGCAACGGCAAGCGGAAGAUAAACAUCAAGGCUUAAUUGGCCAGCCCUCCCCAGACAAUUACACAAUCGAUGGUGAUAAACCACCCCGACACACACACACACACACACGCACGCACAACGAGCGCAUAAUGCAGAGACAUUUAAUGCCUGAAGGCGUGAUGGGAGACAAGCGCCUGCCAAGACAAACAUCACCUCCGUCUUUCAUCUCACCUCCCACGAUCAUUGAAGAAAACGGCGUGUGAAAAAUGCUGUAAGUUGUUUACACAGCCACCGACUGCACAUCGGAGAGCUGCCGAGCAAAUGCAACAAAACUGGUUCAAGCUUCUUCGACGUAUGUAAGAUUCAUUGAAGAUUUGAACUUCUCUUUGGCUAAAUUGUCAAAUUGCAUGUUAGGUGUCAUGGAAGGUGUCAUGGAAGACUUAAGUGUCUUUGAUGCUGAACUUUUUGGAAGAUUCGAAUUUGUCUUUGUCGCUCCAGACUAAACUUUCAGACAUUUUAUGGAAGCUAGGUUCACUUAGGAUGAAAUUAUCUUUGCGGUUGAUGAACACCGUUAUGCUAGGUUCACUGAAGACUCUCAAUGUAUUUUGGUUCCGAAAACAUGAACAGCAGGUUCAUCCAUGACUCCAAAUAAUAUUCGAUUUUCCCCAAAACACAAAAACCACGUUAGGUUCAUUUCAGGCAAAAAUUGUCUUUGACAUUUACAUUCACCGAAGACUGGAAAUUGUUUCUGAUGUUACAAAAAUGGAAAACCAUCUGCGUUAGGUUAAUUGAAGACUACAUUGUCUUUGAUGUGAACGUUUUUUGUCUUGUUUACAACGUUAGGUACACCAUUGUCAUUGAUGCCCCACAAUUUCGCAACCACCAUAUUUUCCUGUCCAAUGAAAACGGAAUGGACUUUUUGGAUCGUGA
Hippocampus comes (tiger tail seahorse) is the source of this 1094-nucleotide long non-coding RNA. RefSeq lists it as uncharacterized. The transcript has 3 exons. The record is from RefSeq and is a predicted model, not a curated record. Lineage: Eukaryota; Metazoa; Chordata; Actinopteri; Syngnathiformes; Syngnathidae.